Molecule: ribosomal RNA, 679 nt
Filed under: uncultured bacterium
Lineage: Bacteria
Description: bacterial SSU rRNA
Rfam family: Bacterial small subunit ribosomal RNA
Source: RNAcentral
GUCGAGCGGAAACGAGUUAACUGACCCUUCGGGGGACGUUAACGGCGUCGAGCGGCGGACGGGUGAGUAAUGCCUGGGAAAUUGCCCUGAUGUGGGGGAUAACCAUUGGAAACGAUGGCUAAUACCGCAUAAUAGCUUCGGCUCAAAGAGGGGGACCUUCGGGCCUCUCGCGUCAGGAUAUGCCCAGGUGGGAUUAGCUAGUUGGUGAGGUAAUGGCUCACCAAGGCGACGAUCCCUAGCUGGUCUGAGAGGAUGAUCAGCCACACUGGAACUGAGACACGGUCCAGACUCCUACGGGAGGCAGCAGUGGGGAAUAUUGCACAAUGGGCGCAAGCCUGAUGCAGCCAUGCCGCGUGUGUGAAGAAGGCCUUCGGGUUGUAAAGCACUUUCAGCAGUGAGGAAGGCGGUGUAGUUAAUAGCUACAUCGUUUGACGUUAGCUGCAGAAGAAGCACCGGCUAACUCCGUGCCAGCAACCGCGGUAAUACGGAGGGUGCGAGCGUUAAUCGGAAUUACUGGGCGUAAAGCGCAUGCAGGUGGUUAGUUAAGUCAGAUGUGAAAGCCCGGGGCUCAACCUCGGAACUGCAUUUGAAACUGGCUGACUAGAGUACUGUAGAGGGGGGUAGAAUUUCAGGUGUAGCGGUGAAAUGCGUAGAGAUCUGAAGGAAUACCGGUGGCGAA